CUGGCUCAGGAUGAACGCUGGCGGCGUGCCUAAUACAUGCAAGUCGAGCGAGAAAUCUUUCAGACGAUCUUCGGAUGAGUCAGGGAGAUGGAAAGCGGCGGACGGGUGAGUAACGCGUAGGCAACCUGCCCUCAGCAGAGGGAUAGCCAUUGGAAACGAUGAUUAAAACCUCAUAAUGCUGUAUCAACACAUGUUGGGACAGCCAAAGAUUUAUCGGCUGGGGAUGGGCCUGCGUCUGAUUAACUGGUUGGUGAGGUAACGGCUCACCAAGGUAACGAUCAGUAGCCGACCUGAGAGGGUGAUCGGCCACAUUGGAACUGAGACACGGUCCAAACUUCUACGGAAGGCAGCAGUAAGGAAUCUUGCACAAUGGGGGAAACCCUGAUGCAGCAACGCCGCGUGAACGAUGAAGGCCUUAGGGUUGUAAAGUUCUGAUCUGUGGGAAGAAGAAAGUGACGGUACCACAGGAGAAAGCCCCGGCUAAAUACGUGCCAGCCGCCGC
RNAcentral lists this ribosomal RNA (502 nucleotides) under uncultured bacterium. RNAcentral's name for it is "bacterial SSU rRNA". It matches the Rfam family "Bacterial small subunit ribosomal RNA", at positions 19 to 518 of the family's 1533-position model. The record is from RNAcentral.